Molossus molossus (Pallas's mastiff bat) is the source of this 140-nucleotide small nuclear RNA. RefSeq annotates it as U4 spliceosomal RNA. NCBI's taxonomy places the organism in Eukaryota, Metazoa, Chordata, Mammalia, Chiroptera, Molossidae. The transcript has a single exon. The record is from RefSeq and is a predicted model, not a curated record.
AGCUUUGCUCAGUGGCAGUAUUGUAGCCAAUGAGGUUUAUCCGAGGCAUGAUUAUUGCUAAAAAAAAAAAAAAAAAAAGGAUCUCUUACCCGUUGAGACAGCAUGGAGGGACCUGGAGAAUAUUAUGCUAAGCAAAAUAA